AACGUAUGCAGUUUCUUUAGAUUUGCUUUAUUUGAUGGUGAGAUAUAUCCUCUUGAGUCGAUUUCAAAAGAUUGAACAUGCUGUAUUAAGAUAGAAAGAAUGAAGUUCUGUUUAAUGCUGAUAAUGUGUCUCUUGAUCCUCCAAUUCUCAAUGGUGCCAGCCCAACAACCUAGAGGCUAUCCUCCUAACUCACGCAGCACUGGCGAGUACGAGCCCCGGCCACCUGGUCCAAUUAGAGAAUGUAUUAGAUGCUACACCAAGGACAACAGUGACAACUGUGUUUAUUCUUGUUGAAAAAUCAUCAUCUGCAAUGCAAACAUCACACUCAAGAGAUGGAAAAAUAUUAAUCCUAAUUUCUAACGAUGUUCCAGAGCUGGGAACUUUUGAAUGGUGGAUAUCGGGAUUAAUGCUUGAUCCACUCUUUUUCUUAAUCUUGAGAUUAA
Molecule: long non-coding RNA, 443 nt
Organism: Eurytemora carolleeae
Lineage: Eukaryota; Metazoa; Arthropoda; Copepoda; Calanoida; Temoridae
Exons: 5
Source: RefSeq, a predicted model, not a curated record